GGCCCUUGGCUGUGCUGACGCGCUGAGAUGCGGACGGAGAAUCUGAAAAGGCCUCACUGAGUCGCACGAGAGAACAUUCCGGAGGAAACCUCUGAGUGGGGAGGUAAGCAUUCCCAGGUUCCUGAUCAUUACCUUUGCUUGUAAUUUUUUGGCUAAGCGUUCUUACUGCCAUGUCAUUGGGUGAGGUUAGAUGCAUCAAAUGAUGAAGAAAAUGGAACACGGAGACCCAGGUAGGACACUGUGCUAAGAUACACAGAUGAGCCAUUUGGAGCUGGGGUGAGGAGAG
RNAcentral lists this long non-coding RNA (286 nucleotides) under Mustela putorius furo (domestic ferret). RNAcentral's name for it is "lncRNA (ENSMPUG00000031181.1)". The record is from RNAcentral. Lineage: Eukaryota; Metazoa; Chordata; Mammalia; Carnivora; Mustelidae.